AGCGAACGCUGGCGGCAGGCCUAACACGUGCAAGUCGAACGAACUCUUCGGAGUUAGUGGCGGACGGGUGAGUAACACGUGGGAACGUGCCUUUUGGUUCGGAAUAACUCAGGGAAACUUGUGCUAAUACCGAAUGUGCCCUUCGGGGGAAAGAUUUAUCGCCAUUAGAGCGGCCCGCGUCUGAUUAGCUAGUUGGUGAGGUAACGGCUCACCAAGGCGACGAUCAGUAGCUGGUCUGAGAGGAUGACCAGCCACACUGGGACUGAGACACGGCCCAGACUCCUACGGGAGGCAGCAGUGGGGAAUCUUGCGCAAUAGGCGAAAGCCUGACGCAGCCAUGCCGCGUGAAUGAUGAAGGUCUUAGGAUUGUAAAAUUCUUUCACCGGGGACGAUAAUGACGGUACCCGGAGAAGAAGCCCCGGCUAACUUCGUG
This 433-nucleotide ribosomal RNA is filed under the name uncultured bacterium. RNAcentral's name for it is "partial 16S ribosomal RNA". It matches the Rfam family "Bacterial small subunit ribosomal RNA", at positions 29 to 507 of the family's 1533-position model. The record is from RNAcentral.